Molecule: ribosomal RNA, 300 nt
Filed under: uncultured Photobacterium sp.
Lineage: Bacteria; Pseudomonadati; Pseudomonadota; Gammaproteobacteria; Vibrionales; Vibrionaceae
Description: bacterial SSU rRNA
Rfam family: Bacterial small subunit ribosomal RNA
Source: RNAcentral
UGCUUGGGAAUAUGCCUUGAGGCGGGGACGAACAGUUGGAACGACUGCUAAUACCGCAUAAUGUCUACGGACCAAAGAGGGGGACCGUUCGGGCCGUCUCGCGUCAGGAUUAGCCCACGGUGAGAUUAGCUUGUUGGUGAGGUAAGAGCUCACCAAGGCAACGAUCUCUAGCUGGUCUGAGAGGAUGAUCAGCCACACUGGAACUGAGACACGGUCCAGACUCCUACGGGAGGCAGCAGUGGGGAAUAUUGCACAAUGGGGGAAACCCGUGAUGCAGCCACGCCGCGUGUAUGAAGAAGG